UAAAGAUUCAUCGCUGAUAGAUAGGCAUGCGUUCCAUUAGGCAGUUGGCGGGGUAACGGCCCACCAAACCGACGAUGGAUAGGGGUUCUGAGAGGAAGGUCCCCCACAUUGGUACUGAGACACGGACCAAACUCCUACGGGAGGCAGCAGUGAGGAAUAUUGGUCAAUGGGCGUAAGCCUGAACCAGCCAAGUCGCGUGAGGGAUGAAGGUUCUACGGAUCGUAAACCUCUUUUAUAAGGGAAUAAAGUGCGGGACGUGUCCCGUUUUGUAUGUACCUUAUGAAUAAGGAUCGGCUAACUCCGUGCCAGCAGCCGCGGUAAUACGGAGGAUCCGAGCGUUAUCCGGAUUUAUUGGGUUUAAAGGGUGCGUAGGCGGCCUUUUAAGUCAGCGGUGAAAGUCUGUGGCUCAACCAUAGAAUUGCCGUUGAAACUGGGAGGCUUGAGUAUGUUUGAGGCAGGCGGAAUGCGUGGUGUAGCGGUGAAAUGCUUAGAUAUCACGCAGAACCCCGAUUGCGAAGGCAGCCUGCCAAGCCAUGACUGACGCUGAUGCACGAAAGCGUGGGGAUCAAACAGGAUUAGAUACCCUGGUAGUCCACGCAGUAAACGAUGAUCACUAGCUGUUUGCGAUACACAGUAA
RNAcentral lists this ribosomal RNA (637 nucleotides) under uncultured bacterium. Its description in RNAcentral is "bacterial SSU rRNA". It matches the Rfam family "Bacterial small subunit ribosomal RNA", at positions 202 to 842 of the family's 1533-position model. The record is from RNAcentral.